Malus domestica (apple) is the source of this 937-nucleotide long non-coding RNA. RefSeq lists it as uncharacterized. NCBI's taxonomy places the organism in Eukaryota, Viridiplantae, Streptophyta, Magnoliopsida, Rosales, Rosaceae. The record is from RefSeq and is a predicted model, not a curated record.
ACGUGAUUUAACCGUGACAAUUCAAAUAAGAGGGUUUCUUAUGAUGGGUUUUUAUAUAAUGAAGUCCAGGGAUUCAUGAUAGUUUCUUAUAUUUGAUAACAAAAUUUAAUAUGGAGUUUGAAUGGAUCGAAGCUUUGUUUCUGAUGGUUUAUAUUUUGAUUUAUUUCCUGUAAUUUGAAUACACAUUGUUUUAUUAUUCUUUUCAUAUUAGAGUUUUUAAAUUUUUAUAGGCUUAAUUAUUAGGUUGCUGAAGGAGGAUUUGAAUUCGAUUUUUUUUUCACAAUUCAGACCAUUCAUUAGUUAACACAAAGCAAGGUUUUGAUUGUUUUAGAAAACUUCUGUCUCCUCGCUCUAGAAGAGAAUUGAGAAGAUUCUGAAAGUUGCUUUCAUUCUUUUCAGAUUGUGUGUAAAUUCCAUCUGGGUUCUUCAAAUUCAAGCCCCCCAAAUUUGAGCAGUUUGUGUUACCCGGACUUAUCGAAUCAAGGUAGCUGCAAGGAAAUUUGAGCCUUGGCCUAUAGAGAUACGAUUUUGCAAGGAAGCCAGGUUCCCAUACUGCAGGGGUUUGGAGCCAUGCACUCAUCAAUAUCUGAACAGAAAAAGAAUGAAUUAAAUCCAUGAACAACAGGUAAAAAUUAAAUCCCACUUUUGAGACUUUUUGUUAACAACUUGCUACUAAAAAAAUGCUGAAGGAAACAGUUCAUGAACCCACAGAUUUGAUAAUCCGUGGCUAAUUGGUGGCUACUUUGGCAUCGUCAGCUAAGCUUACAUGUUAUUUUAAUGAUAAGGGUCAUUUUGAUUCUGAUCUCUAGUCAACCUAAUUGUUAUAUUAAAACAUUGUUUAUUUAAAUAUUUUGAUUGAGGUUCCUAGCACUAUUUAAGGGAUUUAACUCCUGCUUCUAUUACAUUAUAUAUGCAAAAAAGUCAAGCAAAUUGGAAA